This 1371-nucleotide ribosomal RNA is filed under the name uncultured bacterium. RNAcentral's name for it is "bacterial SSU rRNA". It matches the Rfam family "Bacterial small subunit ribosomal RNA". The record is from RNAcentral.
AGAGUUUGAUCCUGGCUCAGGACGAACGCUGGCGGCGCGCCUAACACAUGCAAGUCGAACGAGAGAGAGGGAGCUUGCUUCCUCAAUCGAGUGGCGAACGGGUGAGUAACGCGUGAGGAACCUGCCUCAAAGAGGGGGACAACAGUUGGAAACGACUGCUAAUACCGCAUAAGCCCACAGGUCGGCAUCGACCAGAGGGAAAAGGAGCAAUCCGCUUUGAGAUGGCCUCGCGUCCGAUUAGCUAGUUGGUGAGGUAAUGGCCCACCAAGGCAACGAUCGGUAGCCGGACUGAGAGGUUGAACGGCCACAUUGGGACUGAGACACGGCCCAGACUCCUACGGGAGGCAGCAGUGGGGAAUAUUGCACAAUGGGGGAAACCCUGAUGCAGCGACGCCGCGUGGAGGAAGAAGGUCUUCGGAUUGUAAACUCCUGUUGUUGAGGAAGAUAAUGACGGUACUCAACAAGGAAGUGACGGCUAACUACGUGCCAGCAGCCGCGGUAAAACGUAGGUCACAAGCGUUGUCCGGAAUUACUGGGUGUAAAGGGAGCGCAGGCGGGAAGACAAGUUGGAAGUGAAAUCUAUGGGCUCAACCCAUAAACUGCUUUCAAAACUGUUUUUCUUGAGUAGUGCAGAGGUAGGCGGAAUUCCCGGUGUAGCGGUGGAAUGCGUAGAUAUCGGGAGGAACACCAGUGGCGAAGGCGGCCUACUGGGCACCAACUGACGCUGAGGCUCGAAAGUGUGGGUAGCAAACAGGAUUAGAUACCCUGGUAGUCCACACCGUAAACGAUGAUUACUAGGUGUGGGAGGAUUGACCCCUUCAGUGCCGCAGUAAACACAAUAAGUAAUCCACCUGGGGAGUACGACCGCAAGGUUGAAAACUCAAAGGAAUUGACGGGGGCCCGCACAAGCAGUGGAGUAUGUGGUUUAAUUCGACGCAACGCGAAGAACCUUACCAAGUCUUGACAUCCUGCGACGCACAUAGAAAUAUGUGUUUCCUUCGGGACGCAGAGACAGGUGGUGCAUGGUUGUCGUCAGCUCGUGUCGUGAGGUGUUGGGUUAAGUCCCGCAACGAGCGCAACCCUUACUGUCAGUUACUACGCAAGAGGACUCUGGCAGGACUGCCGUUGACAAAACGGAGGAAGGUGGGGAUGACGUCAAAUCAUCAUGCCCUUUAUGACUUGGGCUACACACGUACUACAAUGGCGUUAAACAAAGAGAAGCAAGACCGCGAGGUGGAGCAAAACUCAGAAACAACGUCCCAGUUCGGACUGCAGGCUGCAACUCGCCUGCACGAAGUCGGAAUUGCUAGUAAUCGUGGAUCAGCAUGCCACGGUGAAUACGUUCCCGGGCCUUGCACACACCGCCCGUCA